This 462-nucleotide unclassified non-coding RNA is filed under the name Monascus purpureus. Its description in RNAcentral is "sequence contains 18S rRNA gene, ITS1, 5.8S rRNA gene, ITS2". The stretch from base 79 to 232 matches the Rfam family "5.8S ribosomal RNA". The record is from RNAcentral. Lineage: Eukaryota; Fungi; Ascomycota; Eurotiomycetes; Eurotiales; Aspergillaceae.
GGGGCCCGCCGGAGACAUCUUCUCGAACGCUGUCUUUGAAAAGGAUUGCUGUCUGAGUAAACAUACCAAAUCGGUUAAAACUUUCAACAACGGAUCUCUUGGUUCCGGCAUCGAUGAAGAACGCAGCGAAAUGCGAUAAGUAAUGUGAAUUGCAGAAUUCAGUGAAUCAUCGAAUCUUUGAACGCACAUUGCGCCCCCUGGUAUUCCGGGGGGCAUGCCUGUCCGAGCGUCAUUACUGCCCCUCAAGCGCGGCUUGUGUGUUGGGCCGCCGUCCCCUGCGCCUCCGGGCAAGGGGGACGGGCCCGAAAGGCAGUGGCGGCGCCGCGUCCGGUCCUCGAGCGUAUGGGGCUUUGUCACCCGCUCAGUAGGUCGGGCCGGGGCCUUUGCCCUCUCCAACCUUUUUUUCCUUAGGUUGACCUCGGAUCAGGUAGGGAUACCCGCUGAACUUAAGCAUAUCAAUAA